This 3021-nucleotide long non-coding RNA is filed under the name Homo sapiens (human). Its description in RNAcentral is "non-protein coding lnc-CHMP3-1:1". Lineage: Eukaryota; Metazoa; Chordata; Mammalia; Primates; Hominidae. The record is from RNAcentral.
CAGCUAAAUUUUAAAGGUGUUUUUGUAGAGAUGAGGUUUCACUAUAUUGCCCAGGCUGGUCUCGAACUCCUGGACUUAAGUGAUCCUUCCUCUUUGGCCUCCCAAAGUGCUGGGAUUACAGGCAUGAGCCACUGCCCCAGCCAAGACUGUCUUUUCUCCAUUGUAUUGCGUUUGCUUCCUUGUCAAAGAUCAGUUGACUAUAUUUGUGUGGGGCUAUUUCUGGGCUCCCUAUUUGUUUCCAGUGAUUAUGUCUAUUUUUUCACCAUUACCACCCUAUCUUAAUUACUGUAGCUUUAUAGUGAGUCUUAAAGUUGGGUAAUAUCAGUCUUCUGACCUUUUUCUCUUUCAAUAUUGUGCCAGCUAUUCUGGGUCUUUUGCCUUUCCAUGUAAACUUUAGAACCAGUUUGUCAGGAUCCACAAAAUACUUUGCUGGGUUUUGAUUGGGAUUGCAUUGAAUCCACAGGUCAAGUUGGCAAAAACUGACAUACAGCAAUGCCAGUUUAUUGUUUUGUGAUAGCCUUAAUCCAGCUAGUUUCUUCACAGGAUGAUGUUGAAAAUAUGGGAUGCUCAUAAUCCCUGAAUAUUUUUUAUGUGGAUAAUUAAACUUGUUCUGGGUGGAUGGUUGGAUAGCCAGAAUAGUAAUAACCUCUCUUCCAGCCACUCAAAGAAAAUGAUAUAAACGUAGGGUUGGUUUAAUUGUUGAGAGGUCACGUUUUUUCCAUUCUUGCUUGCUCUCAGGUAAGGAAAGAGCACUGUUGGUUCACGCAUUCCUUUUUCCCUCAUACACUUUGUUGGGCACUGAUAUGGUUUGGCUCUGUGUUCCCACCCAAAUCUCAUGUUGAAUUGUGAUCCUGAGUGUUGGAGGUGGGGCCUCGCGGGAGACGACUGGAUCAUGGGGGCGGAUUUUCCCCUUGCUGUUCUCAUGAUAGUGAGUUCUCAUGAGAUCUGGUUGUUUAAAAGUGUAUAGCACUUCCUGCUUCACUCUCUCCCACUCCACCAUGUGAAGAAGGUGCCUUUGCCCUUCCGCCACGACUGUGUUUCCUGAGGCCUCCCCAGCCAUGCCUCCUGUACAGCCUGCGGAACUGUCAGUUAAACCUCUUUUCUUCAUUAAUUACCCACUCUCAGGUGGUUUUUUAUGGCAGUGUGAGAACGGACUAAUACAGAAAAUUGGUACCAGAGAAGUGGGAUAUUGCUAUAAAAUACCUGAAAAUGUGGAAGUGACUUUGGAACUGGGUAAUGGGCAGAGGUUGGAACAGUUUGGAGGGCUCAGAAGAAGACAGGAAGAUGAGGGAAAGUUUGCAGCUUCCUAGAGACUUGUUGAAUGGUUGUGACCAAAGUGCUGAUAGUGAUAUGGACAGUGAAGUCCAGGCUGAGUUGGUCUCAGAUGGGAGAUGAGAAUCUUAUUCCGAACUGGAGUGAAGGUCACUCUUGGCUGUGCUUUAGCAAAGAGAGUGGUGGCAUUGUGCCCCUGCUCUAGAGAUCUGUGAACUCUGAACUCGAGAGGGUAUCUGGCAGAAAAAAUUUCUAAGCAGCAAAGUGUUCAAGAUGUGGCCUGAUUGCUUCUAAAAGCCUAUGCUCAUUUGCAUGAACAAAGUGGAACUUAUAUUUAAAACAGAAGCUGAGCUUUUAUAAAAGUUUGGAGAAUUUGCAGCCCAACCAUGUGGUGAAAAAGAAAAAUCCAUUUUCUGGGGAGGAAUUCAAGGCUGCAGAAAUUUGCAUAAGAAGAGCCUCAUGUUAACAGCCAAGAGAGUGAGGAAAAUGCCUCUAGAGCAUUUCAGAGACCUUCACAGCAGCUCCUCCCAUCACAGGCAUGGAAGCCCAGGAGGAAGAAAUGCUUUUGUGGGCCAGCCCAGGGCCCCACUGUUCUGUGCAGCCUUGGGACAUGGUGCCCUGCAUCCCAGCCACUCCAGCUCCAGCUGUGACUAAAAGGGGCCAAGGUACAGCUUGGGCUGCUGCUUCAGAGGGUGCAAGCCCCAAGCCUUGGUGGCUUCCAUGUGGUGUUAGGCAGGUGUGCAGAAGAGUUGAGGUUUAGGAACCUCUACCUAGAUUUCAGAGGAUGUAUGGAAAUGCCCGGAUGUCCAGGCAGAAGUUUGCUGCAGAGGCAGAGCCCUCAUAGAUAACCUCUGCGAGGGCAGUGUGGAGGGGAAAUGUGGGGUUGGAGCUAUGAGAAGAGGGCCACCAUCCACCAGACCCCAGAAUUGUAGAUCCACUGACAGCUUGCACUAUGCACCUGUAAAAGUUGCAGGCAGUUAAUGCUAGCCUGUGAAAGCAGCUGUGGGGACUAUAUGCAGAGCCACAGAGGCAGAGCUGCCCAGAGCCUUGGGAGCCCACUCCUUGUGUCAGUGUGGCCUGGAUGUGAGACGUGGAGUCAAAGAUCAUUUUGGAGGUUUGAGAUUUAAUGACUGCCCUCCUGGAUUUUGGACUUGCAUGGGGCCCAUAGCCCCUUUGUUUUGGCUGAUUUCUCCUAUUUGGAAUGGGAGCAUUUACCCAAUGCCUGUAUCCCCAUUGUAUCUUGGAAAUAACUGACUUGUUUUUGAUUUUACAGGCUCACAGGAGGAAGGGACUUGGCUGGUCUCAGAUGAGACUUGACUUGGACAUUUGAGUUAAUGCUGGAAUGAGUUAAGACUUUAGGGGGCUAUUGGGAAGGCAUGAUUGUGUUUUGAAAUGUGAGGACAUGAGAUUUGGGAGGGGCCGGGGUGGAAUGAUAUGGUUUGGCUGUGUCCCCCCACCCAAAUCUCAUGUUGAAUUGUGAUCCUGAGUCUUGGAGGUAGAGCCUGGUGGGAGGUGAUUGGAUCAUGGGGGCAGAUUUCCCCCUUGCUGUUCUCAUGACAGUGAGUUCUCAUGAGAUCUGGUUAAGUGUGUAGCACUUCCCCCUUUGCUUGCUCUCUCCCUCUGCCAUGUGAAGAAGGUGCUUGCUUUCCCUUCGCCCUUCUGCCAUGACUGUAAGUUUCUUGAGGCCUCGCAGCCAUGCUUCCUGUACAGCCUGCAGAACUGUGAGUUAAUUAAACCUCUUUUCUUCAU